UACAGAGGUCUCAAGCGUUGUUCGGAUUCAUUGGGCGUAAAGGGUGCGUAGGUGGCGCCGUAAGUCAGGUGUGAAAUUUCGGAGCUUAACUCCGAAACUGCAUUUGAUACUGCGGUGCUUGAGGACUGGAGAGGAGACUGGAAUUUACGGUGUAGCAGUGAAAUGCGUAGAGAUCGUAAGGAAGACCAGUGGCGAAGGCGGUUCUCUGGGACGGUACUGACGCUGAGACGCGAAAGCGUGGGGAGCGAACAGG
Molecule: ribosomal RNA, 253 nt
Filed under: uncultured bacterium
Lineage: Bacteria
Description: partial 16S ribosomal RNA
Rfam family: Bacterial small subunit ribosomal RNA
Source: RNAcentral